Molecule: ribosomal RNA, 424 nt
Filed under: uncultured prokaryote
Description: bacterial SSU rRNA
Rfam family: Bacterial small subunit ribosomal RNA
Source: RNAcentral
UGGGGAAUAUUGGACAAUGGGCGCAAGCCUGAUCCAGCCAUGCCGCGUGGGUGAUGAAGGCCUUAGGGUUGUAAAGCCCUUUCGGCGGGGAGGAUAAUGACGGUACCCGCAGAAGAAGCCCCGGCUAACUUCGUGCCAGCAGCCGCGGUAAUACGAAGGGGGUUAGCGUUGCUCGGAAUCACUGGGCGUAAAGCGCGCGUAGGCGGGUCGCUAAGUCAGGGGUGAAAUCCUGGAGCUCAACUCCAGAACUGCCUUUGAUACUGGCGACCUUGAGUCCGGGAGAGGUGAGUGGAAUUGCGAGUGUAGAGGUGAAAUUCGUAGAUAUUGGGUGGAACACCGGUGGCGAAAGCGGCUCUCUGGUCCGGACCUGACGCUGAGGCGCGAAAGCGUGGGGAGCAAACAGGAUUAGAUACCCCUGUAGUCC